UCUACUGGCUAAAAGCAGAUCCUUCCAAUGUAUUUGACUAUGUUGCCCCCUACGGAUCCAGCUUAGAGACUCUCUGGCCUAGUUUCCAAAGAACGAUACUGGUUCACAUUUGUCAGAAGAUAUCAGAGCACAGAAGUGACUCCAAUCCUCGAAGUCCACUUCCAAGGACUGAGAAAUCUUGAGAACCUUGGAAAAGUGUAAGCCAGUACUGACAAUUAGAAGGAUUGGAUUCGUGCAAUGGCAAAAUUGCUGCCUUCACAUGAUAUCCUGGAUUGCAGCGAAUGGAGGUUACUGUCCCGAAGGUCGGGACAACUACAACUGGUGCCCAACGUGGGGCUCGACUGUUCCCAGGAGAGGAGAACUUCAGUGUUCAUUAGAGAGACAAGCUUGUCCAUGCUCUAAGGCACCAGAGACACAGUCGAUUUUGGACCUUGAGGGGAAGACACCCAGCAGCCUUACCCAGAGCUCGGGAUCUUCGGGUUCAUGAACACCACCUGAGGCAGAGGAGAACAAUAAAACAAGAUGGCUGCUGGACUGUUUGGAGAUACGCACGGAGAAGAGAAAAACUGGCAUGCUGAGAUAAAAUAGCCACCCCUCUCCUCCUCCUAAAAACCCCACCUCCAAGCUCACCCUUAGCCAGCUCAUGGGUUCUGGACUCUGUGUGGCACCCCCCCCCACUACUUUCAAUUCCCUUAACCCUUCUCACCUCUGCAACCUUACCCUGGCCCCCACUGAUUCCUCCUAACAAUGCCUGGUGGGCGUGCCUGGAUGGCCUCACUCCCUGCCUUACCACACCCAUAUCUUUGAGGAGGUAGGAUUCUGUGUUCUUGUGCAGGUUGUUCCCUGUCUCACUUAUUACCAGCCUG
This 866-nucleotide long non-coding RNA is filed under the name Cricetulus griseus (Chinese hamster). RNAcentral describes it as "lncRNA (ENSCGRG00015039350.1)". Lineage: Eukaryota; Metazoa; Chordata; Mammalia; Rodentia; Cricetidae. The record is from RNAcentral.